RNAcentral lists this ribosomal RNA (478 nucleotides) under uncultured bacterium. Its description in RNAcentral is "partial 16S ribosomal RNA". It matches the Rfam family "Bacterial small subunit ribosomal RNA", at positions 28 to 523 of the family's 1533-position model. The record is from RNAcentral.
GACGAACGCUGGCGGCGUGCUUAACACAUGCAAGUCGAACGGUAAGGCCCUUCGGGGUACACGAGUGGCGAACGGGUGAGUAACACGUGGGUGAUCUGCCCUGCACUUCGGGAUAAGCCUGGGAAACUGGGUCUAAUACCGGAUAGGACUCCGGACUGCAUGGUCUGGGGUGGAAAGCUUUUGCGGUGUGGGAUGGGCCCGCGGCCGAUCAGCUUAUUGGUGGGGUGAUGGCCUACCAAGGCGACGACGGGUAGCCGGCCUGAGAGGGUGACCGGCCACACUGGGACUGAGAUACGGCCCAGACUCCUACGGGAGGCAGCAGUGGGGAAUAUUGCACAAUGGGCGCAAGCCUGAUGCAGCGACGCCGCGUGAGGGAUGACGGCCUUCGGGUUGUAAACCUCUUUCAGCAUCGACGAAGCGAAAGUGACGGUAGGUGCAGAAGAAGGACCGGCCAACUACGUGCCAGCCGCCGCAGUAA